AUAACAGUUACAUAUUGCUCCUCACAUGGUUGACACUACUGUUUACUUCGUCAUUGCUUCUAUCGACCCUCUUCUUCACUCCAUUUAUUUUCAAUAAAGAGCUCUAAUUUGAGCUCUAUUGAAUUAAAUCACCUCAUUGCAUGCAAGCCACUUUGGUACUUCACCAAAUCACCACUACUCCCUUUCGUUUCCUUUGCUUAUCAUCCUUCAGAUUUCGAAAUUCCGGCCAAGAUUUGAGUUGGGUUCUCCGGAAUUGCUGGUCUGAAUGCGAAACAAGACUUCCCAGUUCAGAAAUUCAAAUGGGUAUUAGCAAUUCUGCAAGUCUAUAAAUGUACUCAACGUUUAUAAUUUGAGAUGUCUAGGCACUUAGUUGAGAUGGCUCGGUGCUCAGAAGAAAUGGACAUUGCCAUUGGAGCUGCGGAACAACCUUGAGAAGGCAUUUUUAGAGCAGGGUAGAGCCUUAUUGAGAUUUGAAGCGCAAUGGAAAGAUCUUAAGACGGGACAUACGAGAGAGCUUGAGCAGCGUCAUUUGCAACUGCAACAAAGGGGUAUCUCAGUACCUUUAACUUGGAGACAGUACUUCCCUACGACAAAUCAGAAUCCCACCUUGUUGAGUAACAAUACUACUCCUCGAUGGAGUGAGACUAACAAACCUCUACCUCUGCCUCCUAGAGAUAGCACAACAAAACUAUUUUGUGACAUAUGCAAGAUUUUUUGUGACACUAAGAUGGUACUUGAUAAGCAUAAAAUGGGAAAGAAGCACCAGAUGAACCUGGGGAAAUUGAAAGGCAAAACUAUUACUGGACAAACGAGUAAGAAGAAGGCAGAUUCUGCACCUGAAGACGAUUUGCAGACUAAGAAACGGAGGGUUAUUGAAGGUGGUGCGGCACCCCAUAGUUUAAGGACAUGUUCCAUAUGUAACGUGGUCAGUAUUAGUGCGACAGAUUUCUAUAAACAUCUUGCCGGACAGCGACAUAGAGAAGCUGCUGCAUCGAUGAGUAAUGCAGCUGGGUCGAGUAGCUACGGCCAGCUGAGAAUAAGGAACUAGGGUGGGAAACUGGUAAUAACUUGUAAUUGGUAGUAGUUGUACACAGAAGAACCAGCCUUUUCUCAUUUCAUACAAUUCACACCUUU
Molecule: RNA transcript, 1134 nt
Organism: Fragaria vesca subsp. vesca
Lineage: Eukaryota; Viridiplantae; Streptophyta; Magnoliopsida; Rosales; Rosaceae
Exons: 4
Source: RefSeq, a predicted model, not a curated record